UCUUUUAAGGACAUCAAAAAAGAGUAAAAUUGCUGAUCAAGGUCGCUGUUCUCCAAUCAAGAGACAUGGGCGGAAGACAGAUGUAUGCAGUAGGACUGGUUUGGGCUGUAGUCCUGAUCACAUGCGGGCCGGGUCAUGCCAGCGCUCAGGUCUCGGGUACUGAUGGCAGGAAUACAACAGCCACAAAUACCACAAAUGUCAACAUUUCCUCUGGUAAUACAGGGACUGAGAAAGGUGAUUCUCGGGUAUUGGAGUGG
Non-coding RNA from Penaeus vannamei (Pacific white shrimp), 257 nucleotides. The record is from RefSeq and is a predicted model, not a curated record. NCBI's taxonomy places the organism in Eukaryota, Metazoa, Arthropoda, Malacostraca, Decapoda, Penaeidae.